This is a regulatory RNA element of Folsomia candida, 46 nucleotides long. It matches the Rfam family "Histone 3' UTR stem-loop". From Rfam's summary of the family: The mRNAs of metazoan histone genes lack a poly-A tail. 3' end processing occurs at a site between a highly conserved stem-loop (modelled by this family) and a purine rich region around 20 nts downstream (the histone downstream element, or HDE). The record is from Rfam. NCBI's taxonomy places the organism in Eukaryota, Metazoa, Arthropoda, Collembola, Entomobryomorpha, Isotomidae.
CCAACGGCCCUUUUAAGGGCCACCACAUUCUCCAAAGAGCAAAUUU